CCCUUAGAAGUCCUGGGCCGCACGCGCGCUACACUGAUGCAUUCAACGAGUGUACCUUGGCCGAGAGGCCUGGGCAAUCUUUUGAACGUGCAUCGUGAUAGGGAUAGAUUAUUGCAAUUAUUAAUCUUGAACGAGGAAUUCCUAGUAAACGCAGAUCAUCAAUCUGCAUUGAUUACGUCCCUGCCCUUUGUACACACCGCCCGUCGCACCUACCGAUUGGAUGGUCCGGUGAAGCCUCGGGAUUGUGGCGGUUGCCUUUAUUGGUGGCCGCCGCGAGAACUUGUCUAAACCUUAUCAUCUAGAGGAAGGUGAAGUCGUAACA
This 322-nucleotide ribosomal RNA is filed under the name uncultured eukaryote. RNAcentral's name for it is "partial 18S ribosomal RNA". It matches the Rfam family "Eukaryotic small subunit ribosomal RNA", at positions 1470 to 1796 of the family's 1831-position model. The record is from RNAcentral.